Molecule: transfer RNA, 72 nt
Filed under: Pangasianodon hypophthalmus (striped catfish)
Lineage: Eukaryota; Metazoa; Chordata; Actinopteri; Siluriformes; Pangasiidae
Rfam family: tRNA
About the family: Transfer RNA (tRNA) molecules are approximately 80 nucleotides in length. Their secondary structure includes four short double-helical elements and three loops (D, anti-codon, and T loops). Further hydrogen bonds mediate the characteristic L-shaped molecular structure. tRNAs have two regions of fundamental functional importance: the anti-codon, which is responsible for specific mRNA codon recognition, and the 3' end, to which the tRNAs corresponding amino acid is attached (by aminoacyl-tRNA synthetases). tRNAs cope with the degeneracy of the genetic code in two manners: having more than one tRNA (with a specific anti-codon) for a particular amino acid; and 'wobble' base-pairing, i.e. permitting non-standard base-pairing at the 3rd anti-codon position.
Source: Rfam by way of RNAcentral
UCCCUGGAGGACUAGUGGUUAGGCUGCAGUACUCUCACCGCUGCAGCGCGGGUUUGAUUCCCGGCCAGGGAA